RNAcentral lists this long non-coding RNA (1998 nucleotides) under Haliotis rubra (blacklip abalone). RNAcentral's name for it is "uncharacterized LOC124286624". Lineage: Eukaryota; Metazoa; Mollusca; Gastropoda; Lepetellida; Haliotidae. The record is from RNAcentral.
UGUGCAGGCAUAUAGUGAUCCCAUGUUAUAUAAUGUCUGUGCAGGCAUAUAGUGAUCCCAUCUUAUAUAAUGCCUGUGCAGGUAUGUAUUGAUCCUACAGUACAUAAUGUCUGUACAGGCAUGUAGUGGUCCCACAGUACAUAAUGUCUGUGCAGGCAUGUAGUGAUCCCACAGUACAUAAUGUCUGUGCAGGCAUGUAGUGAUCCUACAGUACAUAAUGUCUGUGCAGGCAUGUAGUGAUCCCAUGUUAUAUAAUGCCUGUGCAGGCAUGUAGUGAUCCUACAGUACAUAAUGUCUGUGCAGGCAUGUAGUGAUCCCAUGUUAUAUAAUGCCUGUGCAGGUAUGUAUUGAUCCCACAGUACAUAAUGUCUGUGCAGGCAUGUAGUGAUCCUACAGUACAUAAUGUCUCGGCAGGCAUGUAGUGAUCCCAUGUUAUAUAAUGCCUGUGCAGGCAUGUAAUGAUCCCACAGUACAUAAUGUCUGUGCAGGCAUGUAGUGGUCCCAUGUUAUAAUAUGUCUGUGCAGGCAUGUAGUGAUCCCGUAGUACAUAAUGCCUGUGCAGGCAUGUAGUGAUCCCGUAGUACAUAAUGUCUGUGCAGGCAUGUAGUGGUCCCACAGUACAUAAUGUCUGUGCAGGCAUGUAGUGGUCCCACAGUACAUAAUGUCUGUGCAGGCAUGUAGUGAUCCCACAGUACAUAAUGUCUGUACAGGCAUGUAGUGAUCCUACAGUACAUAACAUCUGUGCAGGCAUGUAGUGUUCCUAUAGUACAAAACGUCUGUGCAGGUAUGUAGUGAUCCUACAGUACAUAACGUCUGUACAGGCAUGUAGUGAUCCUACAGUACAUAACAUCUGUGCAGGCAUGUAGUGAUCCUACAGUACAUAACGUCUGUGCAGGUAUGUAGUGAUCCUACAGUACAUAACAUCUGUGCAGGCAUGUAGUGAUCCUACAGUACAUAACGUCUGUGCAGGCAUGUAGUGAUCCUACAGUACAUAACAUCUGUGCAGGCAUGUAGUGAUCCUACAGUACAUAACGUCUGUGCAGGCAUGUAGUGAUCCUACAGUACAUAACGUCUGUGCAGGCAUGUAGUGAUCCUACAGUACAUAACGUCUGUGCAGGCAUGUAGUGAUCCUACAGUACAUAAUGUCUGUACAGGCAUGUAGUGAUCCCACAGUACAUAAUGUCUAAAUAGAGAAGUCUUAUGUGUUGAUUCCCAAGUUGAAACUAUAAGUUAAAUGGACAUUAGUCUGUAAAGGAACUCAGUGUGAAAUCAAAGAACAACAAAGAAAUGUGAUUUAAUAAACAACUGUAUUCUAAAACUUAGAAAUCACUACAGAGAACUUACAAUGGCAGUACAACAUAAAAUUGCAGUGCUAACUGAAAGGCAGAAUUAUUUACACUCUGGUGAGUGGUCAAGCUCAAACAACAGUGGUCAAGCUCCCACAAUAGGCCUUGGCACUGUAUUCUGUGUGAAAGGUGCUGGUCUUCUUGUAAUGUUGGAUGUCAUGCAAGAUGCAUAUGUAUCAAAGUUUCCUGAACUAUUGAUAACACUGGAUCAGACAACAGUGAAUAUUGGGGAGGGUCGAGAAAUGUCCAAACCAGUGUUGUGUAUUGUCAUACCCAGCACACCACUGCUCUCCACUGAAUCUUCACACAAACAAUGUCCUACAACACUUUCUACAAUAUCUACAAACACUGCCACAUAACAGAAUAUUCUGCAUGUUUUUCUUGAAUUUCAUGUUUAAGAUGAUUUCUAUACUUCUGUUCCUGUUGUUAACAAGACGCCUUUACCUCCCUCAACCCAUUACAUUAGCUGGUAAUCAGGUCCUCCAACCACCAGAUAACAUUUUUACUGGUGUCGCCAAACAGGCUAAUUCCGAAACGUGUCAUUUACUUAUCUAUCUAUCACAUGUCACCUUUUCUCCUGGUAAUAAGCGAUCGCCUCCGUGGUGUAGUGGUUAGAGCGUCCGCCCGGAGAGCGGAAGGUCGCGGGUUCGAU